Long non-coding RNA from Serinus canaria (Common canary), 5333 nucleotides. RefSeq lists it as uncharacterized. The record is from RefSeq and is a predicted model, not a curated record. The transcript has 4 exons. Lineage: Eukaryota; Metazoa; Chordata; Aves; Passeriformes; Fringillidae.
CCCAGAAAACAAUUUGUUUAUUAUAAGCAGGUCAGUCCUCGGGGGGAUGCAUGGAAUCACGCAGUGGGAGAGGACAAUCAUGGCACUGAAAUGAAAUGCAGACUUCUUGGUGUUGGAAGGCCUAUCUGGAGAUUGUUUCAUUGAGGCCCCCUGUUCAAGCAUGGUCAGCUAGAGAAGGUUUCCCAGGACUCUAUCCAGCCAGGUUUUUAAUUUCUCCGAGGAUGAACACUCCACAGCCUCUCUGAGCAACCUGUUCCAGUGCCAGAGUUGGAUUCAAAUUAUAUCUUUACAGCUGCCUGAAAUAAAGGACAUAGCAACCUGGCCUGGUUUCAUGCAUUACAGAUGAAUGAGAUGUGGGGAGAACAAAAGAAGGAGGACCAUGAAUGAACACUUAUGCUUUUGUACCCAAAAUGAUGAACACAUCAGAAGAAGAAAAAAAAUGUUGCUUUGAAUGGCCUUCUUGAAGUAUUGGAAAGGAAAGUGAAGAGGAACAAGGUGACCAAACUGCCAAACAUGUAAAACCAGCACCAUUAUGCACUCGCUAAUUAUUAUUUUUGUUUGAAUCUCUAGUGCAGUUUGGCUGAGGCACCCUUAUGCUGCAAUUCUUGCUGUCCCUGGAAAAUACAGUCCCACCCUCUACAACCUUCAAGGUUCCUGAGGACUUUGUAUGUGUUUAAAAUGAAUGAAAACUUUUGGGAAAAAGCAACAGAGAACGCAAGCAUCGUUUUUGUUUCUUUUCUACUGCUUUGGCUGUUCCCACAAGUUUUAUGCAUCCUGUCAGCCUCCCAUGAGAAACUGAAUGGUAUUUCCAGCUCCACUCAGCACUGGUGCAGCCCAUCUGCAGCACUAGGUCCAGUUCUGGGUUCACCAGUACAAGGCUGACAGGAGAAUACCAGAGUCCAGUGAAGGAUGACAGAGGGAAUUAAGAGAUUGGAGCACCUCUCUCAUUGGAGUCACUGAGACAGCUUGAAAAGAAAAAGCUCAAGUAAGAUCUUAUUAACGUGUAUAAAUUCCUCAUGUGAGGGAGUGAAGAAUACAGCCAGACUCUUAAUGCUGCCCAGUGACAGGACAAGAGGCAGUGCACACCAUCUGUAGUACAGAAAAUUCCAUUUAGAUGAAAGAAAAACCCCUUUGGUACUGUAAGUGUGACUGAACACUGGCACAGGUUGCCUGGAGAGGUCAUGGAGUCCCCAUUCUUGGAGAUAUCAAAACCCCAUCUGAACACAGUCCUGGGUAAUCUGCUCUCCUGACCCUGCUUUGAACAGGGAGGGUGGGACUAGUCAAUAUGCAAAGGUGGUUUCCCACCUCAGUCAUCCCAUGAUCCGUGAUUCACUUGAAAAAUCUGUCUUUAUUUCUUGCAGUUAUCAUUUGCUACUACAAUAUAUUCAGGUUGGAGUGCGCUUCUCACCUUCUACUGCUCAUAUUUCUGUGAAUGAGGGUUAUAAUUCAUAUAAUCAAACUUUUAGAAAACCUACUUUAAAGAGACAAACCCCAACACUUGGGACAGCUAGUAAAACUCAUUAUUUCCAACAAUACUCAUAACUGAAAACAUCUUAUUCGAAAAUAAAAAUAAGUUUUCAAAUUAAAUAUUGAUUUAUUUUGUGACAGGAGAAAUCUGCUGUAGCAAAAGACAUCAGAAUUAAAUUACCAGGUUUCUCAUUGUUUUCUUUUUAAUUGAAAUUAUAGAAUCUUUACACUGUUUCAUUUUUAUAUGAUUUUAUGGGGCUUAGAGUAAUAGGCCCUGAGUUUGCUUAAUGACAACAGGAACUAUAAUAAUCCAAAUAUUAGAGAGAAAUACAGAAGAAAGAUUUCAUGGUGCCUUAAUCUGAGAGGCACUUCUUUUAACCCUUUGGUGAGUGUAUAACAUGCUUUUCCUAACUCUGCAUUACAUGGUAAGAUAAUUGAAGUGCUUUGAGCCUAAAAGUGUACUUUGUUCUUCAUUUCAUGCACAUCUCCCUUCAUUCUGCAGCCUCUGAAGUGAAAAGCAUGCCCAAACAGAAGCAAGGGAAGAAAGAUGUGGACACCAGUUCACAAUAAUGUGAAUUAUUGCCUUCAGCCUUAAGAAAUUAAUGUAUUUUAACUUCUAACUUCACAAGUGCUGAGGUGGUUUCAAUUUCUCUGAACAUUGAAAGAACAUUGAAAGCAGGUUGAUAGAACAUCGUAAAGGAAAGACCUGGAGCACAUAUUGCUCAAAAAGUAAAAAGAAAGUGACAAAUUUCAGAAAAGAGGAAGUCAAGAUAUUCUUAGUACAGGGACCAUGUUUUCUGAAGAAAGAUUUUAAAAAUUUUAAAGAUUAUUUUGAUAUAGAAUAAGAGAAGUGUAGUGAAAAAUGUUGCAAUGGCCAAAGAGAUGCAAUGGGCAGAUUGACCUUGGAGGGAGCUUCUCCAUUGUGUGUUGAGAAAGUCACAGGAGUCAUCAACCAGAAGCUCAGAACAGAAUUCAAUUUACAUUGAUAAAUAGCUUGUGCAGGUGCAGAAGGGCAUUUCUAAGGUAAUGAGGUAAAACUAUUAAUGGAAUAUGUUUUGGAGAAAGUCUUGACAGGGAAUAGAAAGCAGUCACACAGGAAAAGCAGAGAAAUUAACUGCUUGGGAAGCUUAUGCUGCAACUGGACAGAGAGCUGGGAUCUGUGAUAGAGUGUUCUGUUUCAAUUACAAAGAUGAGCCAAAAGAGCUUCUAGCCUUUCCCAUCUUUGUGUUUUAUGAGUACAGGUGUUACAGGCAUGCAAAGUAGCAUAUCUUAAUUGUCAUCUCCAAAUCAGACCAGUUCCACUUGUGUUUGGUUUAGCAUACUGUAUUUUGAUGAAGUUUUCAUCUGAUUUCCCUUGAGGACAGCAGUAGCAUUUCCACUCACUCAAGAAGUCAAGCUCUUAUACUGUUUAAUUUACUAUGGGCGUAGAGAAUUUAAAGUGUGAAUCAAAACAAUGGAAACAUCUUUGUGGCACAGCACAGGAGAGCAAACUUAGAACAGUACAAAUAGCUGUUGACUGCCAGAGCUUUACUCAUACUCCAGUCAACUUUGCUCUGGGAAGAAGGAGCUGCACAAAGAGCUGCUGGAGCCUACAAACUUCAAAGCCAAUGACAUGGAAGUGCAAAUCAAUAGAGAAACCACAUGAAACUUUUCAAGGGUAUUUGAUGCCUUCAUGUGUUCAUUUUGAAAUGUUACCUCACAAAUUCCCACUAACCCUAUCUUUCUUGAACUCACCAGCUAUUUCCUGAAAAAAACCCCUUGCAGCUCCUAGGGAAUAAUUGUUUUAAUGCUUGGAGAAUAUGAAAGCUUCACUUGAGCUUCAUUUUUCAGUAUCAUGCUGUCUGUGGAGAAAAGGUGCAAAACUUCCCCCUAUUGCCUGCAUUAUUCCAGUGCAGUCCUGCUCAAUCCUUCCUCCAGAACUGGGCUGGAGGACACAGAAGGCAUAUAUGAUCUACUGCAUUAUUUUGCUGAAACAUACAUUUUUUAAAGAAAUGUAUUGCGUUUUCACAUCAGUAACAUUCUUGGUAAAUUGUUGGAAUUUUAUUUUUGCUCUUGCUUGUUCUGGUUGGCACUCUAAUGUAGACACAGGGGUUUUCAGACUGGGUGCCAGCUGGUGCUUGUCUGUUCUCCAGCUUUGUACUUUGCUAAAAGUUGAAAAUGGUGUUGUUUCACACCAGUCAGUAAUGAUGAGAUGUGAUUUGUUGAAGCUGUAAUACUUUCAUGUAGCUCAGAUCUUGGAGUACUAAAUCCAGUCACCUGAAGGAAAAAGAUUUCUACUUCUUAUUACAGAAUAAUUUCUUUCCUGUGAUAUAUUAGCUGAUAUACACUUGUGAUGCAUUCGCUUGACAGUUCUGAGAUGUAAUACAUUUUAAUAAAAUAUCUUUAAUCAUCUGGAAAUUGCCAAAUAAAGUAUAUUAUGCUGUGACUUGACUCCCACUUUAAUAGAGCAUCAUGCAAAGUGUGUUGAACUCCUGUAAGGCUCCACUGACCUUAAUGAAUUUUGGAUCAGGCCUGUAUUCCCUGAUGUGAAAGUCUCAGGGAAAGUACUAUAAGGCCUCUCUAAUAGCACCCUUUCUUCUGUUAAAAUGCAAGAAAAAUGCAUUGCUCUUAAAUGUUUUUGAUAAAAUAUAUUUCACAAUGUUGUCAUAGUGUUGUAAGCAGGAGAAAAGCAAGUGUUUUAGAGCAUUGAUUAGAAAAAUGCACUCUAUGGUUUAAAAUAUUUUAAAAUGCAAUGUAUAUAUUCCUUUUUAACUUGUGGAGUAAGUCUUCACCUCUGAAAUUCACUUUAAUCUUCAGUUGGUCAUGUAGAGACUUUCACAUUUUUUUGUGUUCCGAAGCGUGUACACAGUUUAAUUAGAACAAACAACAGAAAUCUUACUUAAAAAUGUUUAUUGUAAAAAAGUGGCUAGAAAACAUCAAUUUCACUUCACACUUUCUUCAAGUUAUCUAUAGAUGCUGCUAUGGGCAACAAUUUGCUUUCAUUCAUAACACAUUCAAUCAUAUAAAAAUAAAAAUAUUUACAUUAUGUCGACAUAUUUUACAAAAUCAUCAAUAAAAAAGGCACUUGGAGGGGUAAUGCUGAAAAUAUUGCAUUUUCUUUGUGCAUUUAAAAAAAAUAAUUGUAAAACUCCCGUGGAUCCCCUCUCUUGCACUUAUUCCCGUUUUUUAAAACAAAAAUGAAGUUUAGAGAAACUAUUCCAUAUUAAAGUAUGGUCAAGCAUGCACCAGGAAUGUUUGAAGCUACAGUAUUACCUUUUUUUAUUUAUUUUUUUUUUAAGGCACAUGCAUUAAAUUUGUGGUUUUUAAUUUUUUCGUACAUUCUCUCUUAUACUUUUUUCCCUCUUUUAGUUAUGCAGUUAUAAAGCAUUUCAGGUCAUUAAUGAAGGCCUUGGCUCCUAAUAAAAUAAAAAAAAAAAACACAGCAAUGAAUAAUAUUAAACAUUUACUAAGGUAAACUUGGAAUACUUUUUAAGGCACCUGAGAUAAAUGGUGUCUAGCAAAAUUCACUUGGGUAGUAUUUUCGUUAAAAUUUCCACUUAAAAUACUGUUUCUUUGGUUGAAAUGGCUUGGCAGGAAUGUAUUGUUAACUUUGAAGCCUUUUCUAAGCAAGAAAAGACGACCUACAUUUGGCUUCAUCUAUAAAGAAAGCUGAUAAUGCUUCUUCCUUUAGAUCUACUUGAAAUGUCAUGCAUGGCGUCUUUCCCCCUAUUUCAGAAUUCACACUUAAGAAUGCAAAUGUAUGGCAGAACAGAAACUACUUAAAGCUCAUUUCUACUGACAUUCUAAGUUUUUCCACUUGCUUAUUUGUUUGCUUUUUUGGUGGUGUGUUGGUUUGUUGGUUUGGUUUCUUUGUUUUUUGGUUUCUU